GACGAACGCUGGCGGCGUGUUUAACACAUGCAAGUCGAACGGAAAGGCCCUGCUUUUGUGGGGUGCUCGAGUGGCGAACGGGUGAGUAACACGUGAGUAACCUGCCCUUGACUUUGGGAUAACUUCAGGAAACUGGGGCUAAUACCGGAUAGGAGCUCCUGCUGCAUGGUGGGGGUUGGAAAGUUUCGGCGGUUGGGGAUGGACUCGCGGCUUAUCAGCUUGUUGGUGGGGUAGUGGCUUACCAAGGCUUUGACGGGUAGCCGGCCUGAGAGGGUGACCGGCCACAUUGGGACUGAGAUACGGCCCAGACUCCUACGGGAGGCAGCAGUGGGGAAUAUUGCACAAUGGGCGGAAGCCUGAUGCAGCAACGCCGCGUGCGGGAUGACGGCCUUCGGGUUGUAAACCGCUUUCGCCCGUGACGAAGCGUGAGUGACGGUAAUGGGUAAAGAAGCACCGGCUAACUACGUG
Molecule: ribosomal RNA, 468 nt
Filed under: uncultured bacterium
Lineage: Bacteria
Description: partial 16S ribosomal RNA
Rfam family: Bacterial small subunit ribosomal RNA
Source: RNAcentral